UGUGUUCUUUUUGAUGGCUUGGAAUCAUUUCACAUCAUUAUUGAAUAAAAACAAGGAGAUGGUUGUGAUCUGCUGAAAAGGCAGCCGUGACUUUUGAACAUCCACACCUUUGCAUGUGAGAUCAUGUGCUAAUCUGCGUCUGUGUGGCGUUCGAGGUGUUGGGAUCAGAGCUGGAGGGGUAGAAGGAGUCCUGAGUGGGAGAUGUGCCACCCUCUCUCCUCCCAUGAGCUCUCAAUCAGACGCUGACAUUUCUCUCACAGGAGCAGAGACCUUUAGGUGAUACCUGACAACCGAGCUGCUGGGCAGGACGGUACAGUGACUGAGCAGAGCAGCAUGAUGCAACAGUGUGUGUGAGCUGCAGCAGUACAGGAAGGAAGUGGUCACACAGUCUUCUGGUCUCUGAUGCUGUUUGAUUGACUACUGUGGUCACAUGAUUUCAGAGAAUCGUCUCAGAGACAGUGAAAGUUAACGGGACAGACUGAGCUCAGAGCUGCUGUGACUGCUGACACUUCACCAACAGGCUCUGCAGGAAGCUCCUGAAAAUGGCAGCAAGACAGAGGAGGAGGAGUAUAUCUGAGCCUCUUAAUUUUUCUGACUCAACAGAAAAACUUAUGAGACAUGCAGCUUCAUUCAUCUCAGCGUUUGACGUCAGUGAACCAAAGAUGAGACAGAUUGUAGGAGAGUUUAACAAGAUCAUUGAUGAAGUGACAGAGAUGCAGCAGAUGACAGAUGAACAGAGAAGAAAAGGAGUUCGUAUGAGUGGAAUUCUGAUGGCUGUCGCUCCGUUGACUUUGGGAUUGAGCUUAAUAGGAGCAGCAGUAGCUGCUGCAGAUGUUGUUGGUGCAAACAAGACAAAAAUAAGAGAAGAGAAAGAAAGUGUAAAGAAAGUCAAAGAGCUGGGGAAGGAAUUCAUGGAGAUUGUUGAGCUGCUGAAAAACGACCUGGAAGAAAUAAAGACAACGUAUGAAGAGCUGGAGCAAAGGUCAGCUGAAGGUCAGGCUGCAGACACUCUGUCAGACAUGGAGGAGUUUCAGAGGAUUGUUGGACGAGUGUCUGAGCUGAGAAGAAGGACUGGAGAAGUUUUGGAUGUGACUGUAACAGUGCUGGCACUGAUGCGUGAUCUGUUCAUGUUCAUUCUAAGUGUCUUCAGAGUGACUGCGACCCCUGAAGAGGAUCAGAAGUUAAGAGACUCCAUCAUCAAGUCAGCUGAUCAGUGUCAGAAGGUCAUUAAUGCGUUUGAUUGGAUGAAGGUGGAACUGUUAGUCAUAAUAGAGGAGACAAAAUCGUUGGAGUGAGGAGAAGCCGACGUGUCGUCCUCCUGAGGAAAAUGUGUGUGAGGACAAAAGGACACAAUAAAGUCAUGACGUCAGAGGACGCAGCCUCUGUUUCCUCUGAUCAUGUUACACUGUUAGAUCUGUGAUGACAUCAGCAGGAGGAGAGCUAGUUAGCAUUAGCUGCUAAUAGUAAAAAGGAGUCCUGGGUGCGAUAUUUUUUUUCGUAGGAUGGUAGGGGAAGGUACUGCCUUUUCCGCCUCUGACUGGCUAGAAGAGCUCUCCUCCGGUUGGUUAUUUGCUAUAUGCUGUCGGCUAGUCUGUUUUGAUCGUCUUUACCACCAACAGAAGUAAACAAAGUCAAUCCAACAGUGUGAUAAGUGCGUGCCAUCAGAUUUAUAUUAAUGGAAAGCACAUCGCCGAAUUUAAGGUUGACACCUAAAGUGUAUGUCCACAUCUUAACAUAUGUUCUCAUA
RNA transcript from Epinephelus fuscoguttatus (brown-marbled grouper), 1747 nucleotides. RefSeq lists it as uncharacterized. The transcript has 4 exons. The record is from RefSeq and is a predicted model, not a curated record. NCBI's taxonomy places the organism in Eukaryota, Metazoa, Chordata, Actinopteri, Perciformes, Serranidae.